Molecule: long non-coding RNA, 248 nt
Filed under: Taeniopygia guttata (zebra finch)
Lineage: Eukaryota; Metazoa; Chordata; Aves; Passeriformes; Estrildidae
Description: lncRNA (ENSTGUG00000022490.1)
Source: RNAcentral
GUCAUCUUGUCCCAGAAACAUAUUCGUUACCACUGCUGGUUUGAAGCAUUUUUGACAUUCCUUAUUACUUUUUUUCUGGUUUUCUUGUGAGUCAUUUGCCUGGGAAAGAUUUCUUGAGGGGAUUUGGCAGCAAGCUUAACUGCUGGGCAAAGGAGGAAGGCAAUAUGAUUUCAUGUCAUCUCAGUUUUUGGGACCAGAACUUGGAAGUGCAAUAUGCAGAAAACACCAGGAAAGUGCUUCUUGGCUGA